RNAcentral lists this transfer RNA (74 nucleotides) under Marchantia polymorpha subsp. ruderalis. It matches the Rfam family "tRNA". Rfam says of the family: Transfer RNA (tRNA) molecules are approximately 80 nucleotides in length. Their secondary structure includes four short double-helical elements and three loops (D, anti-codon, and T loops). Lineage: Eukaryota; Viridiplantae; Streptophyta; Marchantiopsida; Marchantiales; Marchantiaceae. The record is from Rfam by way of RNAcentral.
GGGGAAAUAACUUAGUGGUUUAUAGCGCUGGUUAGUAAAGCCAGAAGUCACGGAUUCAUAUCCAGUUUUUCCCA